UACGAAGGGUGCAAGCGUUAUUCGGAAUCACUGGGCGUAAAGGGUGUGUAGACGGUACAUUAAGUUCGUUGUUAAAGGCUCCGGCCUAACUGGAGUAUUGCAAUGAAAACUGGUGAGCUAGAGGGUGAGAGAGAGAAGUGGAAUUCCUGGAGUAGCGGUAAAAUGCGUGGAUCUCAGGAGGAACACCAAUGGCGAAGGCAGCUUCUUGGCUCAUUCCUGACGUUGAGGCACGAAAGCGUGGGGAGCAAACAGG
This 253-nucleotide ribosomal RNA is filed under the name uncultured bacterium. Its description in RNAcentral is "partial 16S ribosomal RNA". It matches the Rfam family "Bacterial small subunit ribosomal RNA", at positions 524 to 776 of the family's 1533-position model. The record is from RNAcentral.